UACGUAGGGGGCAAGCGUUAUCCGGAAUUACUGGGUGUAAAGGGUGAGUAGGCGGCAUGGUAAGCCAGAUGUGAAAGCCUUGGGCUUAACCCGAGGAUUGCAUUUGGAACUAUCAAGCUAGAGUACAGGAGAGGAAAGCGGAAUUCCUAGUGUAGCGGUGAAAUGCGUAGAUAUUAGGAAGAACACCAGUGGCGAAGGCGGCUUUCUGGACUGAAACUGACGUUGAGGCACGAAAGCGUGGGGAGCGAACAGG
Molecule: ribosomal RNA, 253 nt
Filed under: uncultured bacterium
Lineage: Bacteria
Description: partial 16S ribosomal RNA
Rfam family: Bacterial small subunit ribosomal RNA
Source: RNAcentral